AUUAUUUGUGAUAAGGAGGAGAGCUGUGUGGCAGCAAAUUAACCUUAAAUUUGGCUGCUUAGAGGUUUUAUAACUUCUAUUUGAAGUGCCUUCUGCAAAACAACUUUGGAGUUUGGUGUUUAUGCCCCAGAAGUGCUUCCUCCAGAUUAGAAAACAGGCAUAGUACUACAUAACGGUGUUAGAACUUGGCUUUAGAUGGUUCAGGUCUCCUGCUUUUCCUCUCGGGGUAGUCAGUGCCAUUC
RNAcentral lists this long non-coding RNA (242 nucleotides) under Anas platyrhynchos platyrhynchos (common mallard). RNAcentral's name for it is "lncRNA (ENSAPLG00000017203.1)". Lineage: Eukaryota; Metazoa; Chordata; Aves; Anseriformes; Anatidae. The record is from RNAcentral.